RNAcentral lists this small nuclear RNA (106 nucleotides) under Vulpes vulpes (red fox). The record is from RNAcentral. Lineage: Eukaryota; Metazoa; Chordata; Mammalia; Carnivora; Canidae.
GUGCUCACUUCAGCAGCACAUAUACUAAAAUUGGAACAAUAAGAAAAGACUAGCAUGGCCCCAGCACAAGAAUAACCUGAAAAUUCAUGAAGUGUUCCUUAUUUAU